Molecule: non-coding RNA, 432 nt
Organism: Caenorhabditis elegans
Lineage: Eukaryota; Metazoa; Nematoda; Chromadorea; Rhabditida; Rhabditidae
Source: Ensembl
AAAGAAGAGGUUGCAAUUUUUGUUGCGGAAGAUGGGGAAAGAAGACAAUCGGUGGUUUUUUUUUUACUUUGCCCGCGCGCUGGCCCUAUUCUUCGCUCUCAAGCUCACUUAGCGACAGUGGCGUGCCAACAAUUAGCUGAUGGAUGGUCAUCAAAUGACUGACCUUGGAGGUUCAUCCUACCUUCCAUUCCAAGAAAAGAAACCAUUAAGUAAUACAUACAUACCGUCGGUUAUUUAUGCCUCUCGCUCUCUUAGGAAGCCGCUCGGGAUGGAAAGAUGGGGCAAUUAGACAAUGCAAAUAGCAGACGUGUUAUUGUAAAACUGUGGCGUAAUAUGGUCAGAGGUGUCUUUUCAAAAGAUUCUUGCACAAAUAUUAGAGUCAAUUUGUUAUUAUUUAAUACAUGAUACUGCUUUCCAUUAUAGCUGGAGACG